RNAcentral lists this ribosomal RNA (300 nucleotides) under uncultured Succinimonas sp. RNAcentral's name for it is "partial 16S ribosomal RNA". The stretch from base 52 to 300 matches the Rfam family "Bacterial small subunit ribosomal RNA", at positions 547 to 795 of the family's 1533-position model. Lineage: Bacteria; Pseudomonadati; Pseudomonadota; Gammaproteobacteria; Aeromonadales; Succinivibrionaceae. The record is from RNAcentral.
UGGAAUUCUGUGAGUGGUGCGGUGGUAAUGUGUAGGGUGCGGGGGUGGUGAGGAAUGAUUGGGCGGAACGGGUGUGGAGGCGGUUUGUCGGGUGUGCGGUGAAAUUCCGGGGCUCAACCCCGGGCUGGCAGGGGGUACGGGUAGACUAGAGUAUGGUAGGGGAGACUGGAAUUCCUGGUGUAGCGGUGAAAUGCGCAGAUAUCAGGAGGAACACCGAUGGCGAAGGCAGGUCUCUGGGCCACUACUGACGCCGAGAAGCGAAAGCAUGGGGAGCGAACAGGAUUAGAUACCCCGGUAGUC